RNAcentral lists this unclassified non-coding RNA (402 nucleotides) under Hevea brasiliensis (rubber tree). The record is from RNAcentral. Lineage: Eukaryota; Viridiplantae; Streptophyta; Magnoliopsida; Malpighiales; Euphorbiaceae.
CAACUCCUCUUGGCUCCUCGUCAUAAGCUAUAAAAUUCCAUUCGAUUCCACUUGGUUUAUUUCUUCAAGUACGAAACCACACAGGUUCCAAAGAGAAAUGCUUCUCAUCUUUGGUAUGGGCUCCUAGAGUACCAGGUGGAGGUGCAUGCACGGUUAUAGGGAGAACCCACUCACUCUUGUCUCUACCCUCUACCAGAAGAGGAUGCUCAUAUCUUGUCCAGUCCACAUUCUUUGGAGUGGUAAAAAAUUCGAAUCGUAGAACCCAUUGCACAGAGACAUGUGGAGUAGAAAAGGACAUGGGCCCAUCCGUGGGUACAGAAAAAAGAAAGCUGGUCUGCACCAAAUCUGCAACAACCUCAUGAUGAUCACUCUGAACCCUUGUGAUUGUUGGGGAAUUCCUGC